Molecule: long non-coding RNA, 1721 nt
Filed under: Equus asinus (donkey)
Lineage: Eukaryota; Metazoa; Chordata; Mammalia; Perissodactyla; Equidae
Description: lncRNA (ENSEASG00005032780.1)
Source: RNAcentral
AUUUUGAACCAAGAGUCAUCUCCUGCCCCUGACUCCAGCCACCCAGUUCCCCUCCCUGGAAGCAAUGACAGUAACAGUUUAUGUCCUUCCAGAGAAAGAAUCUAAAUAUCCAUAACCAAAUGUGGUGUAAUAAAACAGAUAUAGAUUUGGUCUUUGUCCCUGGUUCCUGGCACAGAGCUCCUAAAACCCUUGGAGUCUCCUGAGUGACAGGGGUGUCUUUUGUUAUUUAUAAUGAGCCCCUUUCAACCACAGCUGAGUUUAUGCUAAUGAGGUGACUCAAGUAGGGCACCUACAGGGCUUCAGGGUGGGGGCUGGUCCCCACAAAGACCAAUCUAGAGGGGGGGAACUUUCAGCUCCCCCACCACCUCCAGGGAGGGGAGGGGGUCCCGGCUGGAGAUUUAGAGAGUUUCUGGGUUGGUGAACAGAGAUGUGCUGGGAGGGUGGCUCCCUGGAGAGGGCAAGGAUGCUCUGCGCUCCUCCCCCCAUGCCUUGCCCUGUGCACCUCUUCUAUUUGGCUGCUCCUAAAUUGCAUCCUGUAUCCUAAACUGGAAUAGUAAAUAAAGCACUUUCCUGAGUUCUGUGAGUCUUCUAGCAAAUUAUAAACCUGAGGAUGGGGUCGUGAGCACCCCCAAAUUUGUAGUUGGCCAGACAGGAGUGUGGGUCUGCUGGGCAUCCCAUUUGUGCUGGGGGUAUCUCAUGGGACUGAGCCGUUAACCUGGGAGUCUGCACUAACUCUGGGAAUUAGCAUCAGAAUUGAAGGGAAUUGUAGGCACCUAGUUGAUAUUGAGAGUUGGAGAAUUGGUGUGGAAAAAACACAUGUAUUUGGUAUCUGGAAAAAAACACAGUGGGUGUGAGAAGUGGUGUUAGAACAAAGACCACACCAGAUAUGCAUAUAUGUCCCACCCCCUUUUUUGAAAACUCAAAUGCAUCCUGUUGUGUAUUUAAUAUAUUUUGAAGAUGGGUCCUUAUCCAUACAUUCCUUUUGACAGCUGGAUAGUAUUCCUCUUUAAGGAUGCACCGCAAGGUAACUUGUUCCUUAUUGACGCCAUUUGUUUCCCGAAUUGUGCUAUUCCACUCAGUGCCACAGAGUGUCACUAAGACCUUUAAGGAAAUCCUUAUGCAAACAUGAAAAGAUAUCUGUAGAAUGAAUUCCUAGAUGGAUUGCUCAGCCAAAAGCCAAGUCAGAAUUGUCAUUUUGAUGAUCUUCACCAAAUGUCCCUCUCUAGAGGCGAUGCCCAUGUUGCACGCCCCCACCUCUAGCAGUGCAUGUAAACGUGGUUUUCCAGAACACUCACCAAUCAGUGAGGUACCAGAUUUUUUACCUUUGCCAAACUGAUAAAUGGAAAAUAGUCUCUUGCUGAAGUUUUAAUUUGCUUUUCUUUUGAGUGAGCUUAAGCAUUAUUCCAUGUUUAAGAGCUGUUUGUCUUCUCUGAACUGUCCUUGUCUUUGCCUGUUUCUCCACUGUUUUUGGUUUCUGAUUGACAAACAAGGGUUUGAAGGGAAAAUAGCCCUUCAAGAUGUAAAUUGUAUUUUCUUCAGUUUAUCAUUUUGACUUUGAUGGACAGAUUACAGAUUUUUUUAUUGAGGUCAUAAUAGUUUAUAACAUUGUGAAAUUUCAGUUGUACAUUAUUAUUUGUCAGUCACCAUAUAAAUGUGCCCCUUUACCCCUUAUGCCCACCUCCCAACCCCCUUCCCCUCUGAUAACCACUAAACUGUUCUCU